UCAGUACGGCGAGUGAGCGGCAAAGCUCAAUUUGGAAUCUCAGUCUUUCAGGGGCGAGUUGUAAUUUGAAGACGUAUUUUGAAGUAAGCACAUGUCGAAGUUCCUUGGAACAGGACGUCACAGAGGGUGAGAAUCCCGUGCGAUGUGUUCACUGCUUCAUGUAAAAUGCGGUCGAAGAGUCGAGUUGUUUG
RNAcentral lists this ribosomal RNA (191 nucleotides) under uncultured Komagataella. RNAcentral describes it as "partial 26S ribosomal RNA". It matches the Rfam family "Eukaryotic large subunit ribosomal RNA", at positions 80 to 276 of the family's 3401-position model. Lineage: Eukaryota; Fungi; Ascomycota; Saccharomycetes; Phaffomycetales; Phaffomycetaceae. The record is from RNAcentral.